GCAACCUGAACUCAGAUGUGAUUACCCGCUGAACUUAAGCAUAUCAUUU
RNAcentral lists this ribosomal RNA (49 nucleotides) under Varestrongylus eleguneniensis. RNAcentral describes it as "partial 28S ribosomal RNA". Lineage: Eukaryota; Metazoa; Nematoda; Chromadorea; Rhabditida; Metastrongylidae. RNAcentral also lists the same sequence under 1 other name. The record is from RNAcentral.